ACUAAAAUUCUGUGAUUUCCUUCCACACAGCAGCCAUAUAGCUUAACUAAAUUUUCGUGCUCUAUCUUUGAGAUCACAUUAAUCUCUGUUAAGAACUCUUUCACCCCUUGUCUUGAUUCAGUUGAAAGAACUUUUAUAGCAGCAAUUUUCCCACCUUUAAGUUUUCCCUUGUAUACUAAACCAAAACCACCCUCCCCAAUUUUAUUGACCGGACUAAAAUAAUCAGUAGCAUUUCUUAAUUCCUUGUAAGUGUAGAGUUUAACAUCGUGAAUGCCUGCAACUUCUUCAUCAACUUCAAAAGAAUUUUUUGCUGAACUCCGACCAAAUAAGAAACAAAAACAAGUCAUAAUUGUAUGAUAGACCAGUCUUCAAUACCAACUGUCAACCAAUGAUUAAAUGAACAACUUCCUGGACCAGCUAACCUAGUCAGCAGAAAUGAAAAAUCCAGAAAGAAGAAGCAAGCGAUGGGAUCGUUAAGAAC
RNAcentral lists this unclassified non-coding RNA (481 nucleotides) under Hevea brasiliensis (rubber tree). The record is from RNAcentral. Lineage: Eukaryota; Viridiplantae; Streptophyta; Magnoliopsida; Malpighiales; Euphorbiaceae.